RNAcentral lists this long non-coding RNA (889 nucleotides) under Gossypium raimondii (Peruvian cotton). RNAcentral's name for it is "long non-coding RNA (GRAI_LNC007960)". Lineage: Eukaryota; Viridiplantae; Streptophyta; Magnoliopsida; Malvales; Malvaceae. The record is from RNAcentral.
CAGAUUAAAAAUAGCAAAUUUUGAGAAACUACAACGUACAAAUCCUAUCUCCUUAACAUUGCAGUGGAGUAGAAAAUGCAGUAGGAGAGAAUGAGGUUACUUGAAGAAGAAGAGUACCAAGAUCCAGCACAACUGGUCAAAAUUGGGCAUUUUAAAGUCUUUGCUUCGUUCCUGUUACACGAUAACGAGCAAAGAGGGGUAGCUGUAAUACCCUAUUUGUGCCCGAGUCAAAAGGGCCCAAAUUACAAACGGGCCUAUGUGGCCCAAAUCAAACAGAGGCCCAAAACCAAACCCCAAAUCCAGUGGCCCAAACAAUCAGAAACCCUAGGGUUUCUAGGAUGAACUUGCGCCGCAACCAGGAUCUUCGCACUAGCCGCCUCCCCGAAUCUUCAUCUGCACACAAAAAAGGAAGCAAAACAGUAAUGGAAAGAAAUCAAAGGAUUGAGAAUCAAAUCAAUGUAAUGGAAAGAAAUCAAAAGAUUGAGAAUCAAAUCAAUGUAAACAAGAUUUUAUUUCUAUAUUUUUUAUUAUGGCUAUAUAAAGCCAUUGAGGAUACAUUAUUGGGGGAUCGGAUUUUGAAAAAAUACGAUAAGAAAAAACGAUUAACAGUUAAAAAAAGAAGGUAGAUUACUAUUUUUACUUUUUCUCUACGUUUCUCUACUGUGUUCUUUUAUUUUUUUAUUUAUUAUUAUUAUUAUUAUUAUUAUUAUUAUUAUUUUCUCCUUGGCAAAACAAAAAAGAGUAAAAGAGGGGAAUAUACUUACCUGCGUGGAGGAAGAUGAAACCCUGUUUGCUGCCAAAUCGGAACCGGAAGGGAGAUUCAGGUUCGCCGAAGUGGUUGUGGCGGCUAGGGAGUUUGGGUUAAAGAAAACCCUAGCAGAGAGUUUCC